AAGGAGCACCACGAGAGACACUCUCCGUUGGGGACGGUGUGAGCCGUGAGGAGCUGGAGCGCUGUAGUGGCGCCGGCUUGGUGCACAGCAAACGUUGAGAUGCGGUGUGGGAAACGCUGUUUCGAUGGACUGCCAGACACACUAUUGGGCCCUGAGACAACAGGCCCGUUGUUCCCUGGCCACUGUGUGUGGUGGGAGGCGUGUUGUUGCCCUGCUUUGGUGGUGGGGUGUGGUGUUUGAUUUGUGGAUAGUGGUUGCGAGCAUCUAGUUCGUAAGAGUGUGGCUGCCGGCCUUUGAGGUUGGGUGGCGCAUUGUUGCGGACAAAUUGAUGUGCCAUUUUUCUUCUGAUUAUUGGUUUUUUGU
This 363-nucleotide small RNA is filed under the name Mycolicibacterium smegmatis. Lineage: Bacteria; Bacillati; Actinomycetota; Actinomycetes; Mycobacteriales; Mycobacteriaceae. The record is from RNAcentral.